CGAACCCCCUGGGCUUGGUUUACUCGACGACAGGUCCGAUACUACAAGGCAGAUAAUCCGUGACGGAGAAUGACACGCAGGUGCGACGAGUUGGGGAGUAGCUGAAGGCGGCCGCGAUCGCGACCGGCCCGGUGUCGUCCACGCUCGUACUUCCGGAACACCGCACAGUUGGGGAAAAGAGGCUACGCUAACACCUGCCGCUCACGUUGAUGGCCGAUCAUCGACGAGCCAAAAAUGAGCGACCGGACAGCAGCAGCCGACUUGUGUACGCUGUAUACAUAAUGGGCGGCUAGCACAAGAGAUGGAAAGCUCCCGGAGA
This 319-nucleotide unclassified non-coding RNA is filed under the name Bombus terrestris (buff-tailed bumblebee). RNAcentral describes it as "misc RNA ENSBTSG00005032751.1". The record is from RNAcentral. Lineage: Eukaryota; Metazoa; Arthropoda; Insecta; Hymenoptera; Apidae.